RNAcentral lists this ribosomal RNA (967 nucleotides) under uncultured prokaryote. RNAcentral's name for it is "bacterial SSU rRNA". It matches the Rfam family "Bacterial small subunit ribosomal RNA", at positions 47 to 1010 of the family's 1533-position model. The record is from RNAcentral.
CUUAACCCAUGCAAGUCGAACGGUAACAGGUCUUCGGAUGCUGACGAGUGGCGAACGGGUGAGUAAUACAUCGGAACGUGCCCGAUCGUGGGGGAUAACGAAGCGAAAGCUUUGCUAAUACCGCAUAAGAUCUACGGAUGAAAGCAGGGGACCGCAAGGCCUUGCGCGAACGGAGCGGCCGAUGGCAGAUUAGGUAGUUGGUGGGAUAAAAGCUUACCAAGCCGACGAUCUGUAGCUGGUCUGAGAGGACGACCAGCCACACUGGGACUGAGACACGGCCCAGACUCCUACGGGAGGCAGCAGUGGGGAAUUUUGGACAAUGGGCGCAAGCCUGAUCCAGCCAUGCCGCGUGCAGGAUGAAGGCCUUCGGGUUGUAAACUGCUUUUGUACGGAACGAAAAGACUCUGGUUAAUACCUGGGGUCCAUGACGGUACCGUAAGAAUAAGCACCGGCUAACUACGUGCCAGCAGCCGCGGUAAUACGUAGGGUGCAAGCGUUAAUCGGAAUUACUGGGCGUAAAGCGUGCGCAGGCGGUGAUGUAAGACAGAUGUGAAAUCCCCGGGCUCAACCUGGGAACUGCAUUUGUGACUGCAUCGCUGGAGUACGGCAGAGGGGGAUGGAAUUCCGCGUGUAGCAGUGAAAUGCGUAGAUAUGCGGAGGAACACCGAUGGCGAAGGCAAUCCCCUGGGCCUGUACUGACGCUCAUGCACGAAAGCGUGGGGAGCAAACAGGAUUAGAUACCCUGGUAGUCCACGCCCUAAACGAUGUCAACUGGUUGUUGGGUCUUCACUGACUCAGUAACGAAGCUAACGCGUGAAGUUGACCGCCUGGGGAGUACGGCCGCAAGGGUUGAAACUCAAAGGAAUUUGACGGGGACCCGCACAAGCGGUGGAUGAUGUGGUUUAUUUCGAUGCAACGCGAAAACCCUUACCCACCUUUGACAUGUAUGGAAUCCUUUAGAGAUAGA